This 51-nucleotide non-coding RNA is filed under the name Mesorhizobium metallidurans. RNAcentral's name for it is "Guanidine-II sequence". It matches the Rfam family "Guanidine-II riboswitch aptamer (mini-ykkC)". Rfam says of the family: Simpler in structure and has fewer highly conserved nucleotide positions than the ykkC-yxkD leader. Despite this each of its two stem-loop structures directly bind free guanidine. Lineage: Bacteria; Pseudomonadati; Pseudomonadota; Alphaproteobacteria; Hyphomicrobiales; Phyllobacteriaceae. The record is from RNAcentral.
CUGCGAGGACGACCUCGCGCCUUCCCCCAACAAUCGGCCGGGACGACCCGC